GGGGUCCUACGGGGGGCAGCAGUGGGGGAUAUUGCACAAUGGAGGAAACUCUGAUGCAGCGACGCCGCGUGAGGGAAGACGGUCUUCGGAUUGUAAACCUCUGUCUUUGGGGAAGAAAAUGACGGUACCUGACUAAGAAGCCCCGGCUAAAUACGUGCCAGCAGCCGCGGUAAUACGUAUGGGGCAAGCGUUAUCCGGAUUUACUGGGUGUAAAGGGAGCGUAGGCGGCCUGGCAAGCCUGAUGUGAAAUACCGGGGCCCAACCCCGGGGCUGCAUUGGGAACUGCCAGGCUGGAGUGCCGGAGG
RNAcentral lists this ribosomal RNA (305 nucleotides) under uncultured bacterium. RNAcentral describes it as "bacterial SSU rRNA". It matches the Rfam family "Bacterial small subunit ribosomal RNA", at positions 333 to 655 of the family's 1533-position model. The record is from RNAcentral.